Molecule: transfer RNA, 71 nt
Filed under: Toxocara canis (dog roundworm)
Lineage: Eukaryota; Metazoa; Nematoda; Chromadorea; Rhabditida; Toxocaridae
Rfam family: tRNA
About the family: Transfer RNA (tRNA) molecules are approximately 80 nucleotides in length.
Source: Rfam by way of RNAcentral
GAGCAAGUAUCUUAGUGGUAGAGCUCAUGCUUCGUAUGCGGGAAGACCUGGGUUCGAUUCCCGGCUGCUUA